AUAAAAAUAACACUGGCUCGGUUACCCUCCCUGCAACCAUUAAUUUCCAAAAUAAACAACCUUUUUCAUUCUUAUUUUGUCUCUCUUCCUUCUUUUCUUUCUCUAAUAAACAAAACUUGUGUGGAGUCAACUUGUGAUUGAGGUUGAUGUUGCACAUUGAUUGAUAGGGUCUAUUUUAUUUACUAUUUAUCUCUUUUCUUCAUUUUGAUGGAAGUGUGGUGAAAAUAAGAUGGAGAAGUGGAGAAUGAUGAACAAAGAUGAUGUUAGGCUUAGCGAGUGAGUGGAAGGUGAGCAAGAGAGAUGAGUGUAGCUAUUUGAAAAUGAAAAUAAUGGUUUAAUUCACAUGAUUUGUUAGAAUAGUGUUGAGAGAGAAUUUUAAUUUGAGAAGGUUUUUGUUUUAAUGGGUCUGGAUGAUUGCAUUUUUCCCUAAUUUGAAUUAAUGCAUAUUUUCCAAUUUUUGAAAAGGAAAGGAAUAUAAAAAUAUUUGAUUUUGAGUGUUUAGAUCUGACAUUUGGAAUUUUGUGGUUGUUUUGGUGAGUAUGAUGCUUGAUGGAGGUUUGAUAGAGGCAGCAUCAAGAAGAUGAAGAUUGAAGUUGGUUCAACUUUACCCAAAAAUUGAUGAACUUAUUCUAUUCAUUUUGGUCCUUAGACAAUGUGGACAUCCCACUAAGCAUUCGAUGUGGCAAAAAAUUAGGAUACAUCACCAGAGUUAACACUAAGUUAACGUUUUGG
This 732-nucleotide long non-coding RNA is filed under the name Medicago truncatula (barrel medic). RNAcentral describes it as "long non-coding RNA (MTRU_LNC000623)". The record is from RNAcentral. Lineage: Eukaryota; Viridiplantae; Streptophyta; Magnoliopsida; Fabales; Fabaceae.